AGUGGGCUGAACGGUCGCGUGGGGCAACCCAUGAGGAAAGUCCGAGCUCCCCAGGGCAGGAUAACGGCUAACGGCCGCCGAGGGUGACCUUAGGGAAAGUGCAACAGAGAGAUACCGCCGGUUUUUGCCGGCAAGGGUGGAAAGGCGAGGUAAGAGCUCACCGGCGUGCGGGAGACCGCACGGCCAUGCAAACCCUAUCCGGAGCAACGUCGACCGAAACGAUACACCGGCCCGGUGUGUUUCAACAGACGGCUGGAGCGACCGGAGCAAUCCGGCGUCGAGAUAGAUGACCGUUUUUAACAGAACUCGGCUUACAGGCCCAGUC
Molecule: RNase P RNA, 325 nt
Filed under: bovine gut metagenome
Description: Bacterial RNase P class A
Rfam family: Bacterial RNase P class A
About the family: Ribonuclease P (RNase P) is a ubiquitous endoribonuclease, found in archaea, bacteria and eukarya as well as chloroplasts and mitochondria. Its best characterised activity is the generation of mature 5'-ends of tRNAs by cleaving the 5'-leader elements of precursor-tRNAs.
Source: RNAcentral